AUGAACGCUGGCGGCGUGCCUAAUACAUGCCAGUCGAGCGAACAGAUAAGGAGCUUGCUCCUUUGACGUUAGCGGCGGACGGGUGAGUAACACGUGGGUAACCUACCUAUAAGACUGGGAUAACUUCGGGAAACCGGAGCUAAUACCGGAUAACAUUUGGAACCGCAUGGUUCUAAAGUGAAAGAUGGUUUUGCUAUCACUUAUAGAUGGACCCGCGCCGUAUUAGCUAGUUGGUAAGGUAACGGCUUACCAAGGCAACGAUACGUAGCCGACCUGAGAGGGUGAUCGGCCACACUGGAACUGAGACACGGUCCAGACUCCUACGGGAGGCAGCAGUAGGGAAUCUUCCGCAAUGGGCGAAAGCCUGACGGAGCAACGCCGCGUGAGUGAUGAAGGGUUUCGGCUCGUAAAACUCUGUUAUUAGGGAAGAACAAACGUGUAAGUAACUGUGCACGUCUUGACGGUACCUAAUCAGAAAGCCACGGCUAACUACGUG
Molecule: ribosomal RNA, 496 nt
Filed under: uncultured bacterium
Lineage: Bacteria
Description: partial 16S ribosomal RNA
Rfam family: Bacterial small subunit ribosomal RNA
Source: RNAcentral